RNAcentral lists this ribosomal RNA (686 nucleotides) under Roseovarius azorensis. RNAcentral describes it as "bacterial SSU rRNA". It matches the Rfam family "Bacterial small subunit ribosomal RNA", at positions 55 to 787 of the family's 1533-position model. The record is from RNAcentral. Lineage: Bacteria; Pseudomonadati; Pseudomonadota; Alphaproteobacteria; Rhodobacterales; Roseobacteraceae.
AUGUCCGUCGAGCGCGCCCUUCGGGGUGAGCGGCGGACGGGUGAGUAACGCGUGGGAACGUGCCCUCUUCUGCGGGAUAGCCUCUGGAAACGGAGAGUAAUACCGCAUACGCCCUUUUGGGGAAAGAUUUAUCGGAGGAGGAUCGGCCCGCGUUGGAUUAGGUAGUUGGUGGGGUAAUGGCCUACCAAGCCGACGAUCCAUAGCUGGUUUUAGAGGAUGAUCAGCCACACUGGGACUGAGACACGGCCCAGACUCCUACCGGAGGCAGCAGUGGGGAAUCUUAGACAAUGGGCGCAAGCCUGAUCUAGCCAUGCCGCGUGAGUGACGAAGGUCUUAGGAUCGUAAAGCUCUUUCGCCUGUGAAGAUAAUGACGGUAGCAGGUAAAGAAACCCCGGCUAACUCCGUGCCAGCAGCCGCGGUAAUACGGAGGGGGUUAGCGUUGUUCGGAAUUACUGGGCGUAAAGCGCACGUAGGCGGAUCAAAAAGUUGGGGGUGAAAUCCCGGGGCUCAACCCCGGAACUGCCUCCAAAACUUCUGGUCUGGAGUUCGAGAGAGGUGAGUGGAAUUCCGAGUGUAGAGGUGAAAUUCGUAGAUAUUCGGAGGAACACCAGUGGCGAAGGCGGCUCACUGGCUCGAUACUGACGCUGAGGUGCGAAAGUGUGGGGAGCAAACAGGAUUAGAUACCC